UACGCAGGGGGCUAGCGUUGCUCGGAAUCACUGGGCGUAAAGGGUGCGUAGGCGGGUUUUUAAGUCAGGGGUGAAAUCCUGGAGCUCAACUCCAGAACUGCCUUUGAUACUGAAGAUCUUGAGUUCGGGAGAGGUGAGUGGAACUGCGAGUGUAGAGGUGAAAUUCGUAGAUAUUCGCAAGAACACCAGUGGCGAAGGCGGCUCACUGGCCCGAUACUGACGCUGAGGCACGAAAGCGUGGGGAGCAAACAGG
Molecule: ribosomal RNA, 253 nt
Filed under: uncultured bacterium
Lineage: Bacteria
Description: partial 16S ribosomal RNA
Rfam family: Bacterial small subunit ribosomal RNA
Source: RNAcentral